UUGGCACUAACUUCUUGUAAGGAGUUGUUUCACCAUCACGUGCUAUUGCCGUAGAGCCUUCUUUCCUUUGGCAUCAUCGCUUUCUGGCUCAUCUUGCAGCAGGAAUCUUGGGUCCAUCAGGUGAAACUGCUGGGCAGUUUUAACUUCUCUCUGUGUUAUGUAGUUUGUGUCUAUGUUGUGUAGUUUGUGUCCAUCGUCUUCCGUGUCAUAGGGCUUUGUUAUGUCUCGAUGCUUUAUUGGCAUCAUUCUGGACCGUAUCGGCAGCAGGGGGGUCUCUGCUCGCCUACUUUUCCAGAUCGGGCUUAUUCCAGCAUCUUUACAUUUUUACUUUUUGAGACCAGAGGAAGUACAGGAGACGUUCUCAUCCAUCUUCCUUCUCACUUUUGGUAGUGCCUUCCGUUCAUGUCCUAUUCCCUUGGACUUCUAUACGGAGCGUAUCAGACCCUCCUCACAUGACCACGGUAGUUCUGUAGGUUCUGUCGCCUUAAAGCGUAUCGGGCUGGAGAAUUAAUCUUCUGGAGAGUUAUCUCAAGCCCUCUCGUCGUCUUUGCUUAUAUUCGGCGCAGCACCUUGUCCAUGAGCUAUUUACGGUUGGAGCUGCCCUGCCCCGGCAAGGUCACGGUUAAGAAGAACCGUUUCAAAACUUAAAGGUCCCUGAGGCGGCUUCGGCUCUCUGCCGUCACCGAAGCUACUGGUUUUUUUUCAAGGAGCAGCAGCUGGAAGAUGUGCUGAAGCAUCUUCAUCAGUAGAGUGUUUUGAGGAAGGGCUGCAGUCAGUGUGUAAACUGAAGAGUGUGAGCGUGUGUGACUGUCUGUGUCUGUGAGAGUUUGUCUGUCUGUGUGCUUGUGUCUGCCUGUGAGUGUGUGCGUGGAAUGGUUCUAACGUUGUGUGUGUGAUUUUUGCCUUUCAGUUUUUUCAACACAUUUUUAAAUUUGGAAUUAAAAAAAUCCCAGCCAGGUUGGGGUUUUUUUUUCCCCCACCAGCUGGGAUUUUUUUCCUUCGGUCCCGGCCUGUCUGCGAGGCGACAUUCAUCGCCAAGAUUUGGGCGGGGACCGUGCCGGCGCCAGGGUUUUUCAGGCAGGACAAUUUGGAGGCUCCCGGGAACCACAUUCCCGUGGAGUGCCGAGAGUUAGUGGAGCGCUUGAGAUGAGAGCGAGGGGGGGUUUGUGUGGAAGCUAAAGGAGGUGUGGGUGGUGGAUGAGUCUUACGUUCUCCACAUGUUGCUGUUGUUUUGGGUUUCCUAUAACAAUAAAAGAAAAUGUAAAAAAUG
Long non-coding RNA from Corvus hawaiiensis (hawaiian crow), 1270 nucleotides. RefSeq lists it as uncharacterized. NCBI's taxonomy places the organism in Eukaryota, Metazoa, Chordata, Aves, Passeriformes, Corvidae. The record is from RefSeq and is a predicted model, not a curated record. The transcript is spliced from 2 exons.